UACAGAGGGGGCAAGCGUUAUUCGGAAUUAUUGGGCGUAAAGGGCGCGUAGGCGGCGAUUCAAGUGACGGGUGAAAUCCCUCGGCUUAACCGAGGAACUGCCUGUCAGACUGGAUUGCUUGAGGCCGGGAGAGGCGAGUGGAAUUCCCAGUGUAGCGGUGAAAUGCGUAGAUAUUGGGAGGAACACCAGUGGCGAAGGCGGCUCGCUGGACCGGUUCUGACGCUGAGGCGCGAAAGCCAGGGGAGCGAACGGG
This 253-nucleotide ribosomal RNA is filed under the name uncultured bacterium. RNAcentral's name for it is "partial 16S ribosomal RNA". It matches the Rfam family "Bacterial small subunit ribosomal RNA", at positions 524 to 776 of the family's 1533-position model. The record is from RNAcentral.